CCUACGGGCGGCUGCAGUGGGGAAUAUUGGACAAUGGGCGAAAGCCUGAUCCAGCCAUGCCGCGUGUGUGAAGAAGGCCUUCGGGUUGUAAAGCACUUUCAGUGGGGAAGAAAGCCUUGGGGCUAAUACCCUCGAGGAAGGACAUCACCCACAGAAGAAGCACCGGCUAACUCCGUGCCAGCAGCCGCGGUAAUACGGAGGGUGCGAGCGUUAAUCGGAAUUACUGGGCGUAAAGCGCGCGUAGGCGGUCUGAUAAGCCGGUUGUGAAAGCCCCGGGCUCAACCUGGGAACGGCAUCCGGAACUGUCAGGCUAGAGUGCAGGAGAGGAAGGUAGAAUUCCCGGUGUAGCGGUGAAAUGCGUAGAGAUCGGGAGGAAUACCAGUGGCGAAGGCGGCCUUCUGGACUGACACUGACGCUGAGGUGCGAAAGCGUGGGUAGCAAACAGGAUUAAUACCCGGGUAGUC
RNAcentral lists this ribosomal RNA (464 nucleotides) under Vreelandella stevensii. Its description in RNAcentral is "partial 16S ribosomal RNA". It matches the Rfam family "Bacterial small subunit ribosomal RNA", at positions 338 to 795 of the family's 1533-position model. The record is from RNAcentral. Lineage: Bacteria; Pseudomonadati; Pseudomonadota; Gammaproteobacteria; Oceanospirillales; Halomonadaceae.